UCUCUUCUCUUCUCUCCUGCUCUCUUCUCUCUCUCUCUCUCUCUCAAGGAUGAACUCCAACCGGAGUUCUUCAUGUUCUUCAUUUUCCGGCAACCGACCGCCGUGAUUCUCAGAUUCCGGCUAGUCGCCGGCGAGCCGCCGCCACCUUCCAACUGGAACCACCGCGCCGGAAUCAUAACCACCCAAAAAAAUCCCAAAAUUUACGUAGAAACCUUAUUUUUUGCGAUUUAAACACAAAUCAACAUUAAAGGUGCAAAAAACACAACAAAUAGUGUUAAAAAAAGAUUUCAGGUUAAGGGUGUUGGUGGAGGCAGAGGGAAGGUGCACUGUUAAAUUAGUUUUUUUUUUUUUGUAAUUUCUCUUCUCUGUGUGUGUAAAAAAAAACCUUUUUUUGCUCUGAUUGUGUCUCAAUUAAUAGACCAAGUGAAUGAAUUUGUUUAAUGUAAAAAACCUUCAGAUUUACAAUUUUUAUUGUUUUUAAUCUCAUCAAUUUGUGUUGAGAAGAAAAAAAAAUAGUAUGAGGAGAUGGUGAUGAAUGAAUGAAUCUGUGGUUGUUUUUCUC
This is a long non-coding RNA of Trifolium pratense (red clover), 562 nucleotides long. RefSeq lists it as uncharacterized. Lineage: Eukaryota; Viridiplantae; Streptophyta; Magnoliopsida; Fabales; Fabaceae. The record is from RefSeq and is a predicted model, not a curated record. The transcript has 2 exons.